CCUACGGGAUGCUGCAGUGAGGAAUAUUGGUCAAUGGCCGUAAGUCUGAACCAGCCAAGUAGCGUGAGGGAAGACUGCCCUAUGGGUUGUAAACCUCUUUUAUGCGGGGAUAAAGUUGUCCACGUGUGGAUGUUUGCAGGUACCGCAUGAAUAAGGACCGGCUAAUUCCGUGCCAGCAGCCGCGGUACUUCGGAAGGUCCGGGCGUUAUCCGGAUUUAUUUGGUUUAAAGGGAGCGUAGGCGGGUCUUUAAGCUGGCCGUGAAAUUUUGUGGCUCAACCCGGAGAGUGCGGCGCGAACUGGAGACCUGGAGUGUGAGGAAGGUAGGCGGAAUGCGUGGUGUAGCGGUGAAAUGCUGAGAUAUCACGCAGAACCCCGAUUGCGAAGGCAGCCUGCCGAAGCGUGACUGACGCUGAAGCACGAAAGCGUGGGUAUCGAACAGGAUUAGAUACCCUAGUAGUC
This 460-nucleotide ribosomal RNA is filed under the name uncultured bacterium. RNAcentral describes it as "partial 16S ribosomal RNA". It matches the Rfam family "Bacterial small subunit ribosomal RNA", at positions 338 to 795 of the family's 1533-position model. The record is from RNAcentral.